Molecule: ribosomal RNA, 512 nt
Filed under: Candida albicans
Lineage: Eukaryota; Fungi; Ascomycota; Pichiomycetes; Serinales; Debaryomycetaceae
Description: eukaryotic LSU rRNA
Rfam family: 5.8S ribosomal RNA (bases 144-297)
Source: RNAcentral
UUGCUCUGAUUUGCUUAUUGCACCACAUGUGUUUUUCUUUGAAACAAACUUGCUUUGGCGGUGGGCCCAGCCUGCCGCCAGAGGUCUAAACUUACAACCAAUUUUUUAUCAACUUGUCACACCAGAUUAUUACUAAUAGUCAAAACUUUCAACAACGGAUCUCUUGGUUCUCGCAUCGAUGAAGAACGCAGCGAAAUGCGAUACGUAAUAUGAAUUGCAGAUAUUCGUGAAUCAUCGAAUCUUUGAACGCACAUUGCGCCCUCUGGUAUUCCGGAGGGCAUGCCUGUUUGAGCGUCGUUUCUCCCUCAAACCGCUGGGUUUGGUGUUGAGCAAUACGACUUGGGUUUGCUUGAAAGACGGUAGUGGUAAGGCGGGAUCGCUUUGACAAUGGCUUAGGUCUAACCAAAAACAUUGCUUGCGGCGGUAACGUCCACCACGUAUAUCUUCAAACUUUGACCUCAAAUCAGGUAGGACUACCCGCUGAACUUAAGCAUAUCAAAAGCCGGGAGGAA